GGGACGUUAGCUCAGUCGGUAGAGCAAUUGACUCUUAAUCAAUGGGUCGCAGGUUCGAUCCCUGCACGUCCUA
RNAcentral lists this transfer RNA (73 nucleotides) under Aridibacter sp. Its description in RNAcentral is "tRNA-Lys". It matches the Rfam family "tRNA". Rfam says of the family: Transfer RNA (tRNA) molecules are approximately 80 nucleotides in length. Their secondary structure includes four short double-helical elements and three loops (D, anti-codon, and T loops). Further hydrogen bonds mediate the characteristic L-shaped molecular structure. tRNAs have two regions of fundamental functional importance: the anti-codon, which is responsible for specific mRNA codon recognition, and the 3' end, to which the tRNAs corresponding amino acid is attached (by aminoacyl-tRNA synthetases). tRNAs cope with the degeneracy of the genetic code in two manners: having more than one tRNA (with a specific anti-codon) for a particular amino acid; and 'wobble' base-pairing, i.e. permitting non-standard base-pairing at the 3rd anti-codon position. Lineage: Bacteria; Pseudomonadati; Acidobacteriota; Blastocatellia; Blastocatellales; Blastocatellaceae. RNAcentral also lists the same sequence under 1 other name. The record is from RNAcentral.